CUAUGGUACCAACUCUUGCUGUGCCAGCACAGAGGUCUCCAGAGCGACUCUCCUGAAUCAGAUAGCAGGGGCUGUUUGCAGUUUCGUUUCCACGCUUCGCUGACUGGUUAGACAGUGAUCACAGGUUCGGAAGCACGCGCCUCACCACAGCGGAGGAGGCCUCCACUCUGAAGCGGGAUUCCACGCUCCUGCACCCUAAGAUCAGCUAGACUCUGCCUUGUUUCAUCUUCUUUCUUUUCCUAAAGAAUCACGGGGAGAACUGACCUCUCUGGGACUCAACCGUGGCUGGAAGGGGACAGGAGAAGCCCUUUCUGGAGGACAGCUGAGCGCUGCAGCUGCCAUCCUGCCUGGCAGGCUAGGGCUGGGCUGUGGGAAGGCCCCCCAGGAGGCUUGGCUGGGUAUGCUCUGUGAAGCCCGAGGUGACUGGGACUCAUUCUAGUGAUGGACACCAAGUCAGCGGGCUCCUCUCUCCAGUUCCUCGACAUCCCUGGAGGCCCCUCUGCUCCUGCAGCCCUAGCCUUGGAGCUGAUGGUUC
This 535-nucleotide non-coding RNA is filed under the name Pan troglodytes (chimpanzee). Lineage: Eukaryota; Metazoa; Chordata; Mammalia; Primates; Hominidae. The record is from RNAcentral.